This 391-nucleotide unclassified non-coding RNA is filed under the name uncultured bacterium. Its description in RNAcentral is "partial contains 16S ribosomal RNA and 16S-23S ribosomal RNA intergenic spacer". The stretch from base 121 to 194 matches the Rfam family "tRNA". The record is from RNAcentral.
GGGWGAAGUCGUAACAAGGUAGCCGUAGGGGAACCUGCGGCUGGAUCACCUCCUUAAUCGAAGAUCCCGGCUUCUUCAUAAGCUCCCACACGAAUUGCUUGAUUCACUGGUUAGACGAUUGGGUCUGUAGCUCAGUUGGUUAGAGCGCACCCCUGAUAAGGGUGAGGUCGGCAGUUCGAAUCUGCCCAGACCCACCAAUUGUUGGUGUGCUGCGUGAUCCGAUACGGGGCCAUAGCUCAGCUGGGAGAGCGCCUGCUUUGCACGCAGGAGGUCAGGAGUUCGAUCCUCCUUGGNUCCACCAUCCAAACAAUCGUCGAAAGCUCAGAAAUGAAUGUUCGUGAAUGAACAUUGGAUUUUCUGGUCUUUGCACCAGAACUGUUCUUUAAAAAAU